Molecule: transfer RNA, 79 nt
Filed under: Candidatus Bathyarchaeota archaeon
Lineage: Archaea; Thermoproteati; Candidatus Bathyarchaeota
Also listed under: 1 other name
Description: tRNA-Glu
Rfam family: tRNA
About the family: Transfer RNA (tRNA) molecules are approximately 80 nucleotides in length. Their secondary structure includes four short double-helical elements and three loops (D, anti-codon, and T loops).
Source: RNAcentral
GCUCCGGUCGUCUAGUCCGGUUAAGGAUACGGGCCUCUCGAGCCUGUGAUCCCGGGUUCAAAUCCCGGCCGGAGCACCA